CGAAGGAAAAUGAUAUAGGGAAAAUCAUUAUUGGUUACCAUGAUGACGCAUGUUAUGCUGUUGUAUUAAAUAUAUGGAAUGAACUUAAAUGCCAAGAUGAAGAUGAACAUAAGCAAAAGGUCAUUAUUGAAGCAAAGCAAAUUCUUUUAUGGUGCGCCACACCAGAUGCUAUUGUGCGAUUGUGUUACAAAAAUGCGACUGACGAAGGAUUCAUACAAGAUACGUACUGGAAAGAGCAGGCUCAUGAAAGUAUAUCGCAGUACCUAAAGUUUCAAAUUUGUACAAGGAAAGGAAAACGCCUGCUAGCACAAGUUACAACUCGAGCAAGGCUUUUGACAUCUGUGCACCGUGAAGCGCUAAGUGAAGCAUGUGAAAUUCCAGAAAGCCAAAUUUACAUUUUGGAAUCAUUGACUACGUUUGAUACCGAGCAGCAGUUCAUUUCGAA
Long non-coding RNA from Ruditapes philippinarum (Manila clam), 445 nucleotides. RefSeq lists it as uncharacterized. The record is from RefSeq and is a predicted model, not a curated record. NCBI's taxonomy places the organism in Eukaryota, Metazoa, Mollusca, Bivalvia, Venerida, Veneridae. The transcript has 3 exons.